Drosophila rhopaloa is the source of this 138-nucleotide non-coding RNA. Lineage: Eukaryota; Metazoa; Arthropoda; Insecta; Diptera; Drosophilidae. The record is from RefSeq and is a predicted model, not a curated record.
AAACGUGCUCGGAUACCGCUGUAGAGAUUAGAUUAUAUCUCUAUGCCCACAAAAUGCACGAAGAUUAACCUCUUAAUGUUCUUCGAUGAGCCUGCCCGUUUAAGUUUUGAAGCAGGAACAGAUACGGAACUUACAAAC